This 429-nucleotide ribosomal RNA is filed under the name Chloroflexota bacterium. RNAcentral's name for it is "Chloroflexi bacterium partial 16S ribosomal RNA". It matches the Rfam family "Bacterial small subunit ribosomal RNA", at positions 355 to 776 of the family's 1533-position model. Lineage: Bacteria; Bacillati; Chloroflexota. The record is from RNAcentral.
UGGGGAAUAUUGCACAAUGGGCGCAAGCCUGAUGCAGCCAUGCCGCGUGUAUGAAGAAGGCCUUCGGGUUGUAAAGCACUUUCAGCGGGGAGGAAGGCGUUAAGGUUAAUAACCUUGGCGAUUGACGUUACCCGCAGAAGAAGCACCGGCUAACUCCGUGCCAGCAGCCGCGGUAAUACGGAGGGUGCAAGCGUUAAUCGGAAUUACUGGGCGUAAAGCGCACGCAGGCGGUCUGUCAAGUCGGAUGUGAAAUCCCCGGGCUCAACCUGGGAACUGCAUGCGAAACUGGCAGGCUAGAGUCUUGUAGAGGGGGGUAGAAUUCCAGGUGUAGCGGUGAAAUGCGUAGAGAUCUGGAGGAAUACCGGUGGCGAAGGCGGCCCCCUGGACAAAGACUGACGCUCAGGUGCGAAAGCGUGGGGAGCAAACAGG